Molecule: long non-coding RNA, 525 nt
Filed under: Panax ginseng (ginseng)
Lineage: Eukaryota; Viridiplantae; Streptophyta; Magnoliopsida; Apiales; Araliaceae
Description: long non-coding RNA (PGIN_LNC000852)
Source: RNAcentral
GAAAGAGUAACAAUAUGCUGAUUUAUUUUCUUUCUUCAGACCAUUUCAUGCUCUCUCUCUCCCUCUUGGCUUUCCAUUCCCGACUCACUGUAUUCCAUUUGCUCUCUUUAAAUUUCAAAAUUCUCAUCUUAUACACCAAAAGCUUGUACAUUCACGAAGGAAAUGUUAAGAAUUUCACUAAAUUGGUAUGAAAUCAAGGUUAGUCUCAGCAUUGAAGGAAAUUAGAAAUUGUCAAUUGCAACUAACAUCAACUAGAGCUAUAUUAAAACAUCAUUAGUUUUAAAUUUUCAACAAACGAAAGGUAUGUCAUGAGUUUUUUGGAAUUCAAAGAAAUUGGUUAGUUUGUGGGAUAGUAUUGAUAUAAUUAUGCUAUAAUUGAACUGUUGUUGUGCUGUGAAUUGUAAGAAGAUUCUAGGCAGGUAGAAUGGAGUGAAAAGGGAAGAAAAUUUUGGUUUGAUUCAUAUUUAAACACAUAUGAAAUCUAUCUUUUUAAAGCUUGCAUGCUAGAUGUUUGAUGAAAUACCC